Molecule: ribosomal RNA, 345 nt
Filed under: Triticum aestivum (bread wheat)
Lineage: Eukaryota; Viridiplantae; Streptophyta; Magnoliopsida; Poales; Poaceae
Description: partial small subunit ribosomal RNA
Source: RNAcentral
AUGCUUCACCCCUUGACACGGACGUACUUGCAUCGGCGACGAUGGCUGGCGCACGACAUGGCUGGUUGGUGCGGCCCACUACAGGCGCGAAGGGGCGCCAAGCCUGCGCGGCGGAUCUCACCCUCAGCGCUGCUCCUUCCGGCGGCAACGACGUCCCCGCAUGCGUUGCUCUUCACUAAAUCAUCUAGGCCAAAACGGCAAGGCCGUGAGGAGCAAGUGAAGCAUGAACACAUGCUAGAUGAAAAUCGAUUGACACUGAUCAAUCAAUAUGCAUGCAGUUGCAUGCGUCCAUUUAGUCAUCAAUGCAUUGAUUCAUUAGUUUAUUCUUGUUGGAGCAAGUACUAA